Molecule: ribosomal RNA, 229 nt
Filed under: uncultured bacterium
Lineage: Bacteria
Description: partial 16S ribosomal RNA
Rfam family: Bacterial small subunit ribosomal RNA
Source: RNAcentral
UACGUAGGCGGAAAAUUAAGUCAGUAGUGAAAUCCUGCAGCUUAACUGUAGAACUGCCAUUGAUACUGUUGAUCUUGAGUGUAGUUGAGGUAGGCGGAAUGAGUAGUGUAGCGGUGAAAUGCUUAGAUAUUACUCAGAACACCGAUUGCGAAGGCAGCUUACCAAACUAUUACUGACACUGAUGGACGAAAGCGUGGGGAGCGAACAGGAUUAGAUACCCUGGUAGUCC